Molecule: ribosomal RNA, 253 nt
Filed under: uncultured bacterium
Lineage: Bacteria
Description: partial 16S ribosomal RNA
Rfam family: Bacterial small subunit ribosomal RNA
Source: RNAcentral
UACAGAGACCUCAAGCGUUAUCCGGAUUUAUUGGGCGUAAAGGGUCCGCAGGUGGUUUGGCAACUCAGGGGUUAAACCUUAUCGCUUAACGAUAAGCCUGCCUUUGAAAAUACCAAACUAGAGGAUGGAAGAGGUGAGCGGAAUUCUCGGUGUAGUCGUAAUAAGCGUUGAUAUCGAGAAGAACAUCAAAUGCGAAGGCAGCUCACUGGUACACUCCUGACACUCAGGGACGAAAGCGUGGGGAGCAAACAGG